UGCUUCUGAAGAUAGAGCCACGGUGAGGGU
This 30-nucleotide non-coding RNA is filed under the name Rattus norvegicus (Norway rat). Lineage: Eukaryota; Metazoa; Chordata; Mammalia; Rodentia; Muridae. The record is from RNAcentral.